Molecule: long non-coding RNA, 399 nt
Filed under: Lathyrus oleraceus (garden pea)
Lineage: Eukaryota; Viridiplantae; Streptophyta; Magnoliopsida; Fabales; Fabaceae
Description: Pisum sativum (pea) long non-coding RNA (PSAT_LNC039120)
Source: RNAcentral
GGGGAGAAAAAACAAUAAAUAAAUAAGAAAAAGAGGAAACGGUGGACACGGUUUCUCAUACUCCUCAAUCUCACCCUCUCUGCAAAAAAAGAAAAGGACAAAAAGAAAAAGAAAUUUUUUUCCUCUUCUUCUACACAUCAGAUCCCCAAACUCCUCUUCUUCUGUCACCUUAAACGAACACCCUCCUUCCUCUUCACAUUCCACAAACCGCCAUAGCCACCAAACACAUCCUCUUCUUCUACACAUCAGAUCCCCAAACUCCUCUUCUUCUGUCACCUUAAACGAACACCCUCCUUCCUCUUCACAUUCCACAAACCGCCAUAGCCACCAAACACAACAACCGCGAAACUUCCUCCGUUUUCGUUCUUUAAACCUUUUGUUUCCACCAUCAAACACGCC